GCCGGCAGCUAGCUCUCUGCAACUCUCACAUGGUCGCCCACUGAAGCUAAGCAGGGCUGUGCCCGGUCAGUACCUGGAUGGGAGACCACGUAAGAAAGCUAAGUGGCUGCCGGAA
Molecule: ribosomal RNA, 115 nt
Filed under: Danio rerio (zebrafish)
Lineage: Eukaryota; Metazoa; Chordata; Actinopteri; Cypriniformes; Danionidae
Source: RNAcentral